GACUGUCAGUGUAAAAGAAAGAGGAAGUUAUCAUUCAUAAAACAUCAAAGCCAAGAGAUGAUUAGUUUUGCAUGACGUGUCAAGUCAGCAGCCACUGAUUUGAUUUCUCUCUAUUGCAGUGUCUCUUCUAACUACAGUGUGUGAGUCAUAAGUCAUACACUCAGUUUUCAACGUGUGUUUUGUUCACACUUCUCAAGAAAUUCGUCGUAUAUUGUUUUUUUUACGGAUCUUUUUCCACCUUGCUUUUAAUCUAGUAUUUGUUGAAGCAAGUAGUAACUGGAGUGGACUCCACUGCAAACAGGUAACUUGUGGGUGUGCAGCUGGAGUUGCUGCUACAUUUAGAGCUCUAGUUGGUGGUGUGUUGUUUGUAAUGGAAGAUAUUACAUCCUGGGAGAGGAGUCAACUAAUGUGGUGGUGUGUCUUUUUCACAUUACAUUUUGUGGAUAUUGUGGUGCGAACUACGAUGGGGUAGUGUAGGAGCGGAAAAUACGGACAUUUUGGAUCAGACAGUGGUCAAGAGGAUUAUUCGUUUGUAGAGUUAUUCCCAAUGGUUAUUAUUGGGGUUAUUGGAGGUAUACUAGGAGCUUUAUUUAACCAACUUACACUUUAUAUUACUAUUUGAUGUCGAAAUCAUCUUCACAAGAAAGAGAAUCGGGUCAAGGUAUAUUGUUUAUUUUUAUCCUAUUGUUUUCCGACUUUAUUUCUAUUAAAUGAAAAAACAAAUCAAGGUGGAAAGAAACUAAGGAAGACAAAGGACAAAGGAUUAAAGGACCGAACCAAAUGAAGAAAAUUAUUGUUGUUCAUUAUAUUAUGUUUAUUCAUUUUGCAGUACUUUUUCCUAUCUCACUUGUCUGUUUAUAUUUUGUGCGUUUCACACCUCCAAUGUACUGCAUAUUAUUGAAGCAUGCCAUGUCUCUCUUCUAACAUCAGUUAUUUCAUUUUGCUUUCCGCUUCUAAGAAAAUGCAGUCUCUGUCCUGAACCUGAUCCUACAUUUGGUAUUCAAUGUCCACGACCUCCUGGAAUGUAUGGGAAUUAUGUUAAUGUAAGACCAAUGGUUUAAUUUUAUUUUGUUUCCUUCAUCUACCUCAUUUUUUCAUAAUUAAACUUUUAAAAUCUGUUUACUGAAUUUCAAUCAGUGUUAUCAAUAGUGGCUGUAAGAUCCCAAUUUUGAUCCUAAGAUCCCUCAUGCCAUCUCAUCAACCUGCAUUGACUUUGGGAUCACACCUUGGUAUCCUCCUCGCCCCUCAUUCAUUGGGUUUACAUUGGGAGAGAUCACCAAGCACAUUUAUGAUUGUAUCAUACUUUGUUUUUAUUUGUUUGCUAACCAAAAUACCAAAAAUAUGUCUAGUGUAGCUUUAUUUCUUUUGUAGGUAGUGUGUGCAUCCACAUAUGCCUCAUCAAGCUCAUAUUAGGGUUUGAGACCCUUAAUGCAAGAUAUUAAUCAAAGUAAUAUUCACAUUGGUUCUAAACAUCAUAUAUGGAUCCCCAUGUUCUUUAUUUGUCAUUUUGAUCAAGAUUUCAUCAAGAGUUUGAAGCUUGUUUGUCAAGGAAGCCCUAAUUCAUCUGAUUAUCUUGUGUGCCUUCCUCAACAAGUUUCUUCAACAAAUUGGUCAAUAUUAUCAAUGUAUAUUCCAUUUUACUUCAUAUUAUACAUAUAUGAUCCUCCAUAAGCCCAAAAAUGGCAAAGUAACUUCAAGUUUGCAAGUUGGUUCAAGGGGGUUGACCAGAAAAGCCAACUGGUCAAAUCUAGGAUUCCCUAGACCCUAUCUCCUACAAUUUUUGUCAUAUGAAAAUGAUUCCAAGAGAAAAUUUACUCAUUAUGACAUUCCAAACAACU
Molecule: long non-coding RNA, 1838 nt
Organism: Lathyrus oleraceus (garden pea)
Lineage: Eukaryota; Viridiplantae; Streptophyta; Magnoliopsida; Fabales; Fabaceae
Exons: 5
Source: RefSeq, a predicted model, not a curated record